Long non-coding RNA from Mytilus trossulus (common blue mussel), 303 nucleotides. RefSeq lists it as uncharacterized. The transcript has 3 exons. The record is from RefSeq and is a predicted model, not a curated record. NCBI's taxonomy places the organism in Eukaryota, Metazoa, Mollusca, Bivalvia, Mytilida, Mytilidae.
AGAAUACAAAUUUAGAAGAGGAUGUUUAUGAUCCAAAAGAUUUGACAUACGAACACCUCACUGCUUUUCAUACAGAUGCAGUUUUUGUGCAUGAAAUGGAAAUGAUGACCAAGAAUCAAGGAAAAGACAACGGAAUAACUGAUGAAAAAUCGGGAACAGUAAAUAAAAUAAAAGAAGAAGAUAAAAGGAAAACAAACCCGCCGGAAAAAGAAAUUACAGAAAAGUAACUAGGAGAACUACUGUUUUAUUUAGAAGGGGUUAACGCACGAGUAUGUCUUUUCAAUUGUGACGUGGUUAUUAUAA